This 450-nucleotide ribosomal RNA is filed under the name uncultured Glomeromycotina. RNAcentral describes it as "SSU rRNA". It matches the Rfam family "Eukaryotic small subunit ribosomal RNA", at positions 569 to 1024 of the family's 1831-position model. The record is from RNAcentral. Lineage: Eukaryota; Fungi; Glomeromycota.
AGCAGCCGUGGUAAUUCCAGCUCCAAUAGCGUAUAUUAAAGUUGUUGCAGUUAAAAAGCUCGUAGUUAAAUUUCGGGAUCGAAUUGUUGGUCGUGCUUCGGUACGCACUGGCAUUAUCGGUUCCUACCUUCUGAAGAACCGCGAUGUCAUUAAUUUGGUGUCGUGGGGAAUCAGGACUGUUACUUUGAAAAAAUUAGAGUGUUUAAAGCAGGCUCACGCUUGAAUACAUUAGCAUGGAAUAAUGAAAUAGGACGUUUGAUUCUAUUUUGUUGGUUUCUAGGAUCGACGUAAUGAUUAAUAGGGAUAGUUGGGGGCAUUAGUAUUCAAUUGUCAGAGGUGAAAUUCUUGGAUUUAUUGAAGACUAACUACUGCGAAAGCAUUUGCCAAGGAUGUUUUCAUUAAUCAAGAACGAAAGUUAGGGGAUCGAAGACGAUCAGAUACCGUCGUAGU